CCUACGGGCGGCAGCAGUGAGGAAUAUUGGUCAAUGGACGAGAGUCUGAACCAGCCAAGUAGCGUGAAGGAUGACUGCCCUAUGGGUUGUAAACUUCUUUUAUAAAGGAAUAAAACGAGGCACGUGUGCCUUUUUGCAUGUACUUUAUGAAUAAGGAUCGGCUAACUCCGUGCCAGCAGCCGCGGUAAUACGGAGGAUCCGAGCGUUAUCCGGAUUUAUUGGGUUUAAAGGGAGCGUAGAUGGGUUGUUAAGUCAGUUGUGAAAGUUUGCGGCUCAACCGUAAAAUUGCAAUUGAUACUGGCAGUCUAGAGUACAGUUGAGGUAGGCGGAAUUCGUGGUGUAGCGGUGAAAUGCUUAGAUAGCACGAAGAACCCCGAUUGCGAAGGCAGCUUACUAAACUGUGACUGACAUUGAUGCUCGAAAGUGUGGGUAUCAAACAGGAUUAGAUACCCGGGUAGUC
This 460-nucleotide ribosomal RNA is filed under the name uncultured bacterium. RNAcentral describes it as "partial 16S ribosomal RNA". It matches the Rfam family "Bacterial small subunit ribosomal RNA", at positions 338 to 795 of the family's 1533-position model. The record is from RNAcentral.